This 876-nucleotide ribosomal RNA is filed under the name uncultured archaeon. RNAcentral's name for it is "bacterial SSU rRNA". It matches the Rfam family "Archaeal small subunit ribosomal RNA", at positions 1 to 879 of the family's 1478-position model. The record is from RNAcentral.
UUCCGGUUGAUCCUGCCGGAGGCCAUUGCUAUUGGGAUCCGAUUUAGCCAUGCUAGUCGCACGAGUUCAGACUCGUGGCGAAUAGCUCAGUAACACGUGGCCAAACUACCCUUCGGAGCUCCAUACCCUCGGGAAACUGAGGCUAAUAGAGCAUAUCACAAUCCACCUGGAAUGAGGAUUGUGUCAAACGCUCCGGCGCCGAAGGAUGUGGCUGCGGCCGAUUAGGUAGACGGUGGGGUAACGGCCCACCGUGCCAAUAAUCGGUACGGGUUGUGAGAGCAAGAACCCGGAGACGGUAUCUGAGACAAGAUACCGGGCCCUACGGGGCGCAGCAGGCGCGAAACCUUUACACUGCACGAACGUGCGAUAAGGGGACUCCGAGUGCGAGGGCAUAUAGUCCUCGCUUUUCACCACCGUAAGGAGGUGGUAGAAUAAGUGCUGGGCAAGACCGGUGCCAGCCGCCGCGGUAAUACCGGCAGCACGAGUGAUGACCGCUAUUAUUGGGCCUAAAGCGUCCGUAGCUGGCCGUGCAAGUCCAUCGGGAAAUCUGCCCGCCUAACGGGCAGGCGUCCGGUGGAACCUGCAUGGCUUGGGACCGGAAGACCAGAGGGGUACGUCCGGGGUAGGAGUGAAAUCCCGUAAUCCUGGACGGACCACCGGUGGCGAAAGCGCCUCUGGAAGACGGAUCCGACGGUGAGGGACGAAAGCUCGGGUCACGAACCGGAUUAGAUACCCGGGUAGUCCGAGCUGUAAACGAUGUCUGCUAGAUGUGCCACAGGCUACGAGCCUGUGGUGUGUCGUAGGGAAGCCGUGAAGCAGACCGCCUGGGAAGUACGUCCGCAAGGAUGAAACUUAAAGGAAUUGGCGGGGGAGCAC